RNAcentral lists this ribosomal RNA (308 nucleotides) under uncultured soil bacterium. RNAcentral describes it as "bacterial SSU rRNA". It matches the Rfam family "Bacterial small subunit ribosomal RNA", at positions 26 to 359 of the family's 1533-position model. The record is from RNAcentral.
AGAACGAACGCUGGCGGCAUGCCUAACACAUGCAAGUCGAACGAGACCUUCGGGUCUAGUGGCGCACGGGUGCGUAACGCGUGGGAAUCUGCCCUUGGGUUCGGAAUAACAGCGAGAAAUUGCUGCUAAUACCGGAUGAUGACGUAAGUCCAAAGAUUUAUCGCCCAAGGAUGAGCCCGCGUAGGAUUAGCUUGUUGGUGAGGUAAGAGCUCACCAAGGCGACGAUCCUUAGCUGGUCUGAGAGGAUGAUCAGCCACACUGGGACUGACGACACGGCCCAGACUCCGUACGGGAGCAGCGAGGUGGGG